UAAGCCACUUUGGGAGUCUUUUGGAUGAGU
Molecule: non-coding RNA, 30 nt
Filed under: Mus musculus (house mouse)
Lineage: Eukaryota; Metazoa; Chordata; Mammalia; Rodentia; Muridae
Source: RNAcentral